CUCACUUCUUGGCUUUUUGGCUAAGAUCAAGUGUAUUAUCUGUUUUUAACAGUUUAAUUAUAUGGUGGGCACCUUGGGCGCUCAGUUGGUUAAGCAUUGCACUCUUGAUUUUAGCUCAGGUCAUGAUUUAGCAGUUUGUGGGUUUGAGCCUUGCAUGGGGCUCUGUGCUGACAGCUCAGA
Molecule: small nuclear RNA, 180 nt
Filed under: Panthera leo (lion)
Lineage: Eukaryota; Metazoa; Chordata; Mammalia; Carnivora; Felidae
Description: U2 spliceosomal RNA (ENSPLOG00000016772.1)
Rfam family: U2 spliceosomal RNA
About the family: U2 is a small nuclear RNA (snRNA) component of the spliceosome (involved in pre-mRNA splicing). Complementary binding between U2 snRNA (in an area lying towards the 5' end but 3' to hairpin I) and the branchpoint sequence (BPS) of the intron results the bulging out of an unpaired adenosine, on the BPS, which initiates a nucleophilic attack at the intronic 5' splice site, thus starting the first of two transesterification reactions that mediate splicing.
Source: Rfam by way of RNAcentral